GUGGUAUGCUUAGUGAACACUGUCGGAAAGACGCAAAUGACGCACCUCCAUUCACAGACGCAGCGUGACUAGACGAUCGCUCAUAUUCUCCAAAAGGCAGAUAUUCUCCUUCAGAAUCAGACUAGCGAUGACGUGUGUGUGU
Alosa sapidissima (American shad) is the source of this 142-nucleotide long non-coding RNA. RefSeq lists it as uncharacterized. The transcript is spliced from 3 exons. NCBI's taxonomy places the organism in Eukaryota, Metazoa, Chordata, Actinopteri, Clupeiformes, Clupeidae. The record is from RefSeq and is a predicted model, not a curated record.